AUGCCUUAAACUAAUGAGUAAGGAAAACAACGAUUCGGGGUGACGCCCGAGUCCUCACCCCAUGUGUGAGAGAAAUUUUUGACCGGGUACAGGUCGUCCUUAUGGUGACUCGCUUACUCUGCGGGAUGCCUGGGUGUUUCGAUCUGCCCG
Molecule: small nuclear RNA, 150 nt
Filed under: Eptatretus burgeri (inshore hagfish)
Lineage: Eukaryota; Metazoa; Chordata; Myxini; Myxiniformes; Myxinidae
Description: U12 minor spliceosomal RNA (ENSEBUG00000000236.1)
Rfam family: U12 minor spliceosomal RNA
About the family: Although the U12 sequence is very divergent from that of U2, the two are functionally analogous.
Source: Rfam by way of RNAcentral